GAAGCCGCGAACAGUUCAGUUGGUGCUGACAUAAUUCAAUUUGGGUUACGUGCGAUCCAAGUGUCCAUUUGAUGGCAGAGUUUAGUGCAUUUGUGAAAACAAAGCAGAAAUUAUCAUCAUUCACCAUCAAACACCAGAUCCUUUUCCUCUUGUUUUCAAGAGGAUGAUGAAAUGGGUGACCAAUAGGACUUUGGCAGCAAGCAGGAAAAGUAGAAAAAAGGGAAAACAACAGAAAAUGUUUUACCCAGUUUUGCUUGCUCAUGGUGGCAAUCGGUCGGACUUUCCGAUGUUGGUGGACAACAUCUCUCGCCACAAAGCCUCAUCCGGCUAUUUGUACCCGAGACUUCGUGUGGGGGACACAUACCAACUUUGUGUAAAGCUUCAAGAAAACGGUUUGCCAAUAUUUGACAAACAAACGAAAUUAGGAAUGGAAGGUUUGCACAAAUUAUUCUUCCCUGGUGAAGACUUUAAAGAUCGUCACAGUGCUUUGGGAGAUGCCAGGUUGAUGAGGCAAAUUUUCGGGGGGCCGCUUCGCAACCACCUGGAAGAAAUCGAAACAAAGACGUUGUCUUCCUUUGUGGGUUUGCAAAAAAAGAAAAAGAAAAAAAAAGAAAGAAACCAAACCAUUGGCGAAGGUUGGCAUUGAAUUCGAGCAUUAACUCAGUAUUCGCUAGUAGUGCAAUUUGACGUAACCGCCUAUUUGGAAAGUUGAUUGAUGAAAGUUCAAUAUAAGAGGGGAGAAGCAGGGAUUAGCAGGAAAAGAUCUGAUGCAUGGGGAAGUAGUCAUCAAGACUGACCCCAUUCUAACGAAGAAACAAUUGAAAGAAGGAAAAAA
Dendronephthya gigantea is the source of this 835-nucleotide RNA transcript. RefSeq lists it as uncharacterized. Lineage: Eukaryota; Metazoa; Cnidaria; Anthozoa; Malacalcyonacea; Nephtheidae. The transcript is spliced from 8 exons. The record is from RefSeq and is a predicted model, not a curated record.